GGCUCGAUAGCGGACGGUCCGCGCCUGCCUACCUGUAUAGAUGGGAAACUUAGGAAUCGUCCAGCAGGUGACGCCCGUUCGACUCGGGCUCGGGCCA
Molecule: non-coding RNA, 97 nt
Organism: Mycena belliarum
Lineage: Eukaryota; Fungi; Basidiomycota; Agaricomycetes; Agaricales; Mycenaceae
Source: the annotation of a GenBank genome assembly